GGUCGUGUGGUUAUCCAGAGGCGAGCAGAGGGAAUGUAGAAAUGAUUAACAAGUCCCACCACGCUGAAUUGUUCUUCUUUCAGCACAUUAAGUUCUCUGAAGAGUGAACUCCUGGAGAGCAGAGACCCCCUGCAAGGAUGUAACAACCUCCCCGCCAGUUGAAGAGGCCCCUAGUUCUGCCGAUGCACCAGAGGCCCCCUGCCCCAAGGCUGUGCAUGGACCCACCCACAACCCGGCAAUACACCAACCAGAAACCAAUCCCCCAAGACUCAGCCAGAGCCCCGGCCCGGAGGCGGAGCACCCCCAGAACCACAAGACCGCCCCAGAUCCACCCCAGGGCAGCUAGGCUACCAGGCCAGUAACCCACGUCUGCCAGCACAGACCCUCCCCCAGCCCUGCUACACGCAGCCACCAGGAAAACAUCACCCGGGGGACACCAGAGUCCAAGUAACCCAAGUUUUUUAAUGUUAGUGGGGAAAUCAUAAACUCUUAAAGUCACCAUGUUU
This is a long non-coding RNA of Oreochromis aureus, 506 nucleotides long. RefSeq lists it as uncharacterized. The transcript is spliced from 3 exons. The record is from RefSeq and is a predicted model, not a curated record. Lineage: Eukaryota; Metazoa; Chordata; Actinopteri; Cichliformes; Cichlidae.